GUUUAGGACAGGGGACAGGGGACAGGGGUGAGGCAGGAUUUGAUGGACAGACAGGGAGGUUUAGAGGGGACAGGGGUGAGGCAGGGAUUUGAUGGACAGACAGGGAGGUUUAGAGGGGACAGGGGUGAGGCAGGGAUUUGAUGGACAGACAGGGAGGUUUAGAGGGGACAGGGGUGAGGCAGGGAUUUGAUGGACAGACAGGGAGGUUUAGAGGGGACAGGGGGUGAGGCAGGGAUUUGAUGGACAGACAGGGAGGUUUAGAGGGGACAGGGGUGAGGCAGGGAUUUGAUGGACAGAUAGGGAGGUUUAGAGGGAACAGGGGUGAGGCAGGGAUUUGAUAGACAGACAGGGAGUUUAGAGGGGACAGGGGGUGAGGCAGGGAUUUGAUAGACAGGGAGGUUUAGAGGGGACAGGGGGUGAGGCAGGGAUUUGAUGGACAGACAGGGAGGUUUAGAGGGGACAGGGGGUGAGGCAGGGAUUUGAUGGACAGACAGGGU
Molecule: long non-coding RNA, 497 nt
Organism: Oncorhynchus tshawytscha (Chinook salmon)
Lineage: Eukaryota; Metazoa; Chordata; Actinopteri; Salmoniformes; Salmonidae
Source: Ensembl